Molecule: ribosomal RNA, 440 nt
Filed under: uncultured bacterium
Lineage: Bacteria
Description: partial 16S ribosomal RNA
Rfam family: Bacterial small subunit ribosomal RNA
Source: RNAcentral
CCUACGGGUGGCAGCAGUGGGGGAUAUUGCACAAUGGGGGAAACCCUGAUGCAGCGAAGCCGCGUGUGGGAAGACGGUCCUCUGGAUUGUAAACCACUGUCCCCAGGGACGAAGAUGACGGUACCUGGGGAGGAAGCUCCGGCUAACUACGUGCCAGCAGCCGCGGUAAUACGUCGGGAGCGAGCGUUGUCCGGAAUUACUGGGUGAAAAGGGAGCGUAGGCGGGGAUGCAAGUUGGGUGUAAAAACUACCGGCUCAACUGGUAGUCGCACUCAAAACUGCAGCUCUUGAGUGAAGUAGAGGCAGGCGGAAUUCCUAGGGUAGCGGUGAAAUGCGUAGAUAUUAGGAGGAACACCAGUGGCGAAGGCGGCCUGCUGGGCUUUUACUGACGCUGAGGCUCGAAAGUGUGGGGAGCAAACAGGAUUAGAUACCCUAGUAGUC